GACGAACGCUGGCGGCGUGCUUAACACAUGCAAGUCGAACGGAAAGGCCCUGCUUUUGUGGGGUGCUCGAGUGGCGAACGGGUGAGUAACACGUGAGUAACCUGCCCUUGACUUUGGGAUAACUUCAGGAAACUGGGGCUAAUACCGGAUAGGAGCUCCUGCUGCAUGGUGGGGGUUGGAAAGUUUCGGCGGUUGGGGAUGGACUCGCGGCUUAUCAGCUUGUUGGUGGGGUAGUGGCUUACCAAGGCUUUGACGGGUAGCCGGCCUGAGAGGGUGACCGGCCAACUGGGGACGGGGAAACGGCCCAAGCCCCAACGGGGGGCAGAAGGGGGGAAUAUGGCAAAAGGGGCGGAAGCCGGAUGCAGCAACCCGGGGGGGGGGAUGACGGCCUUCGGGUUGUAAACCGCUUUCGCCUGGGACGAAGGGGGGGUGACGGUAAUGGGUAAAGAAGCACCGGCUAACUACGG
RNAcentral lists this ribosomal RNA (467 nucleotides) under uncultured bacterium. RNAcentral's name for it is "partial 16S ribosomal RNA". It matches the Rfam family "Bacterial small subunit ribosomal RNA", at positions 28 to 506 of the family's 1533-position model. The record is from RNAcentral.